UAGUCUGUGCUUUGGUGUAUUCCCUUGCU
RNAcentral lists this non-coding RNA (29 nucleotides) under Mus musculus (house mouse). The record is from RNAcentral. Lineage: Eukaryota; Metazoa; Chordata; Mammalia; Rodentia; Muridae.